This 87-nucleotide transfer RNA is filed under the name Bacillota bacterium. Its description in RNAcentral is "tRNA-Leu". It matches the Rfam family "tRNA". Rfam says of the family: Transfer RNA (tRNA) molecules are approximately 80 nucleotides in length. Their secondary structure includes four short double-helical elements and three loops (D, anti-codon, and T loops). The record is from RNAcentral. RNAcentral also lists the same sequence under 2 other names. Lineage: Bacteria; Bacillati; Bacillota.
GCAGUCGUGGCGGAAUUGGCAGACGCGCUAGAUUCAGGGUCUAGUACCUUCACCGGUGUAGGAGUUCAACUCUCCUCGACUGCACCA